This 485-nucleotide long non-coding RNA is filed under the name Homo sapiens (human). RNAcentral's name for it is "non-protein coding lnc-DNMT3L-2:1". The record is from RNAcentral. Lineage: Eukaryota; Metazoa; Chordata; Mammalia; Primates; Hominidae.
UUUGAGUUCAGGGCCUGGCCUUCCUACAGCUCUCUCCUCGGCCCAGGUCCUGCUGCACGUGACUUGUGACAUCCGAUUUAGGCUUCUCAGGAGAGGGCAGGGACACAGGUCCCAUGAGUGCCUUUUACUGGGGGUGGGGAUUGAGAGGUGGCCCUGGGGGCCCUGGCCACGUCCCUCGCUGACUGUGCUGGUCUCCGUGCAGUGUCAACAGCAUCUCCACCCUGGAGCCUGUGAGCCGGUGCCAGCGCCUGAGUGAGCUGUACCUGCGGAGGAACCGCAUCCCCAGCCUGGCUGAGCUCUUCUACCUGAAGGGGCUGCCGCGUCUGCGGGUGCUGUGGCUGGCCGAGAACCCGUGCUGCGGCACCAGCCCCCACCGCUACCGCAUGACCGUGCUGCGCACCCUGCCGCGCCUACAGAAGCUGGACAACCAGGCUGUGACGGAGGAGGAGCUGUCCCGUGCACUGAGUGAGGGAGAGGAGAUCACU